GGAGCAAGGUGUGUUAAACACUUCCUCUACUCGUAAAUCGGAAAAAAAUGAAAUAAGAGACCUUUGGUGCCACACGAACGUGAGUUCACUCGUGUGGUAGUUCGAACGCAAAAACAUGGGCGUUGGAUCUAGAGGCCACUAUGAGUGAUCUCAUGGGCUUAGGCCGAUUUAGGCCAUAUUGGGCCGAAAUGGGCUGUGCAGGUCCCACACAGGUAAACCACAUGAAAGUAUGGAGAAUAUUGGGCUGGACUAUGUAGUUCACAUGGCCAGGGCAAUUUUUGGGCAUAGUGGGCUACACGAGC
This 302-nucleotide long non-coding RNA is filed under the name Gossypium barbadense (sea-island cotton). RNAcentral's name for it is "long non-coding RNA (GBAR_LNC005415)". The record is from RNAcentral. Lineage: Eukaryota; Viridiplantae; Streptophyta; Magnoliopsida; Malvales; Malvaceae.